Corvus moneduloides (New Caledonian crow) is the source of this 91-nucleotide microRNA precursor. The record is from Ensembl. Lineage: Eukaryota; Metazoa; Chordata; Aves; Passeriformes; Corvidae.
GAGAGAAAAGAAUGCCACGCACCCACAAGCACAACCCAACUCAAAUGAAAGGUUUGGGUGUACUUGUGGAUGAAUGGUGUGCUUUUCUGUA